UAAUACGUAGGGUGCGAGCGUUAAUCGGAAUUACUGGGCGUAAAGCGUGCGCAGGCGGUUGUGUAAGACAGAUGUGAAAUCCCCGGGCUCAACCUGGGAACUGCGUUUGUGACUGCACAACUAGAGUACGGCAGAGGGAGGUGGAAUUCCGCGUGUAGCAGUGAAAUGCGUAGAGAUGCGGAGGAACACCGAUGGCGAAGGCAGCCUCCUGGGCCAGUACUGACGCUCAUGCACGAAAGCGUGGGAGCAAACAGGAUUAGAUACCCUGGUAGUCCACGCCCUAAACGAUGUCAACUAGUUGUUCGGUGAGGAGACUCAUUGAGUAACGCAGCUAACGCGUGAAGUUGACCGCCUGGGGAGUACGGCCGCAAGGUUAAAACUCAAAGGAAUUGACGGGGACCCGCACAAGCGGUGGAUGAUGUGGAUUAAUUCGAUGCAACGCGAAAAACCUUACCUACCCUUGACAUGCCAGGAACCUGCCAGAGAUGGCUUGGU
Molecule: ribosomal RNA, 495 nt
Filed under: uncultured Zoogloea sp.
Lineage: Bacteria; Pseudomonadati; Pseudomonadota; Betaproteobacteria; Rhodocyclales; Zoogloeaceae
Description: bacterial SSU rRNA
Rfam family: Bacterial small subunit ribosomal RNA
Source: RNAcentral